UACGUAGGGUGCAAGCGUUGUCCGGAAUCAUUGGGCGUAAAGAGCUCGUAGGCGGCCUGUCGCGUCGGCUGUGAAAACCCGGGGCUCAACCCCGGGCCUGCAGUCGAUACGGGCAGGCUAGAGUGCGGUAGGGGGAACUGGAAUUCAUGGUGUAGCAGUGAAAUGCGUAGAGAUCAUGAGGAAGGCCAGUGGCGAAGGCGAGUCUCUGGACAGUUCCUGACACUGAGACACGAAGGCCAGGGGAGCAAACAGG
RNAcentral lists this ribosomal RNA (253 nucleotides) under uncultured bacterium. Its description in RNAcentral is "partial 16S ribosomal RNA". It matches the Rfam family "Bacterial small subunit ribosomal RNA", at positions 524 to 776 of the family's 1533-position model. The record is from RNAcentral.